AUGCAGCGGCAGCUCAACCUCUCGCCGGCGCCGAAGCAGCAGCAGCACGACGACGGCGACGGCGGCGACGCGGUGGAAGCGAUCCCCCUUUGGGUGCCCGAGCAGUCCGCGGAGGCCAAGGCCGACAAGGCGCCCGGCGGCCGCCCGGAGAGGUCCAUCCACCUCAUCCCACUGCUCACCUUCCUCUGCUUCCUCCUCCUCUUCCUCUGCUCCCACGCCCCCUCCUCCUCCGCUUCGGCGGUGGCGGUGGCGGCGCCGGCGCCGGCGGACGGAAGGCUGGCAACCGGAGGCUGA
This 294-nucleotide ribosomal RNA is filed under the name Triticum aestivum (bread wheat). Its description in RNAcentral is "partial small subunit ribosomal RNA". The record is from RNAcentral. Lineage: Eukaryota; Viridiplantae; Streptophyta; Magnoliopsida; Poales; Poaceae.